This 531-nucleotide ribosomal RNA is filed under the name uncultured bacterium. RNAcentral describes it as "bacterial SSU rRNA". It matches the Rfam family "Bacterial small subunit ribosomal RNA", at positions 345 to 870 of the family's 1533-position model. The record is from RNAcentral.
GAGGCAGCAGUGGGGAAUUUUGGACAAUGGGCGAAAGCCUGAUCCAGCAAUGCCGCGUGAGUGAAGAAGGCCUUCGGGUUGUAAAGCUCUUUUGUCAGGGAAGAAACGGUGAGAGCUAAUAUCUCUUGCUAAUGACGGUACCUGAAGAAUAAGCACCGGCUAACUACGUGCCAGCAGCCGCGGUAAUACGUAGGGUGCAAGCGUUAAUCGGAAUUACUGGGCGUAAAGCGUGCGCAGGCGGUUUUGUAAGUCUGAUGUGAAAUCCCCGGGCUCAACCUGGGAAUUGCAUUGGAGACUGCAAGGCUAGAAUCUGGCAGAGGGGGGUAGAAUUCCACGUGUAGCAGUGAAAUGCGUAGAUAUGUGGAGGAACACCGAUGGCGAAGGCAGCCCCCUGGGUCAAGAUUGACGCUCAUGCACGAAAGCGUGGGGAGCAAACAGGAUUAGAUACCCUGGUAGUCCACGCCCUAAACGAUGUCUACUAGUUGUCGGGUCUUAAUUGACUUGGUAACGCAGCUAACGCGGAAGUAGACC